RNAcentral lists this ribosomal RNA (468 nucleotides) under uncultured bacterium. Its description in RNAcentral is "partial 16S ribosomal RNA". It matches the Rfam family "Bacterial small subunit ribosomal RNA", at positions 28 to 507 of the family's 1533-position model. The record is from RNAcentral.
GACGAACGCUGGCGGCGUGCUUAACACAUGCAAGUCGAACGGAAAGGCCCUGCUUUUGUGGGGUGCUCGAGUGGCGAACGGGUGAGUAACACGUGAGUAACCUGCCCUUGACUUUGGGAUAACUUCAGGAAACUGGGGCUAAUACCGGAUAGGAGCUCCUGCUGCAUGGUGGGGGUUGGAAAGUUUCGGCGGUUGGGGAUGGACUCGCGGCUUAUCAGCUUGUUGGUGGGGUAGUGGCUUACCAAGGCUUUGACGGGUAGCCGGCCUGAGAGGGUGACCGGCCACAGUGGGACUGAGAUACGGCCCAGACUCCUACGGGAGGCAGCAGUGGGGAAUAUUGCACAAUGGGCGGAAGCGUGAUGCAGCAACGCCGCGUGCGGGAUGACGGCCUUCGGGUUGGAAACCGCUUUCGCCUGUGACGAAGCGUGAGUGACGGUAAUGGGUAAAGAAGCACCGGCUAACUACGUG